UCGGUUAAGUCCGCUAACCGAGCGCAACCCUCGCUGUGUGUUACAAGUGUCACACGGAACUGCCGGUCAUAAACCGGAGGAAGUGGGGAUGACGUCAAGUCAGCAUGGCCUUUAUAUCCUGGGCUACACACACGCUACAAUGGGAAGGGACAAUAGGUUGCGAAGCCGCGAGGCGGAGCCAAUCCAGCAAAACUUCCCUCAGUUCAGAUUGCAGGCUGCAACUCGCCUGCAUGAAGUUGGAGUUGCUAGUAAACGCAGGUCAGCCAUACUGCGUUGAAUACGUUCCCGGGGCUU
RNAcentral lists this ribosomal RNA (294 nucleotides) under uncultured Anaerolineaceae bacterium. Its description in RNAcentral is "partial 16S ribosomal RNA". It matches the Rfam family "Bacterial small subunit ribosomal RNA", at positions 1076 to 1382 of the family's 1533-position model. The record is from RNAcentral. Lineage: Bacteria; Bacillati; Chloroflexota; Anaerolineae; Anaerolineales; Anaerolineaceae.